Molecule: ribosomal RNA, 114 nt
Filed under: uncultured bacterium
Lineage: Bacteria
Description: partial 16S ribosomal RNA
Rfam family: Bacterial small subunit ribosomal RNA
Source: RNAcentral
CGGUGAAUACGUUCCCGGGCCUUGUACACACCGCCCGUCAAGCCAUGGAAGCUGGGUGUACCUAAAGUCGGUAACCGCAAGGAGCUGCCUAGGGUAAAACUAGUAACUGGGGCU